This 345-nucleotide long non-coding RNA is filed under the name Homo sapiens (human). RNAcentral's name for it is "non-protein coding lnc-ADAM17-2:1". The record is from RNAcentral. Lineage: Eukaryota; Metazoa; Chordata; Mammalia; Primates; Hominidae.
UCUCUAGCAUCGAGCAGAAGACCGACACCUCCGACAAGAAGUUGCAGCUGAUUAAGGACUAUCGGGAGAAAGUGGAGUCCGAGCUGAGAUCCAUCUGCACCACGGUGCUGGCGAUCCGGACAAAAUCAUGGCUGAUGGAAAUAACUGGUAAAGAGGCAAAGAAAGUAAUGCAGACAGUGUGUACUAAAGUGGAGAAAACUUAAGAUUAUUUACUUUAUGAAGUCAAAACUUCGUUGUAUUCUUCCGUGUGCUCUUAGCUUCCAGUCCCUGCUUGGCAUUGAAGAAGCACUUGUAAAAGCUUUUUGGACUGAAUUGCUCGUAUUAAAAAAUUUUGCCAACUUGAAA